GUGAACGCUGGCGGUAGGCCUAACACAUGCAAGUCGCACGGCAGCACAGUAAGAGCUUGCCCUUACGGGUGGCGAGUGGCGGACGGGUGAGGAAUACAUCGGAAUCUACUUUUUCGUGGGGGAUAACGUAGGGAAACUUACGCUAAUACCGCAUACGACCUACGGGUGAAAGCAGGGGAUCUUCGGACCUUGCGCGAUUGAAUGAGCCGAUGUCGGAUUAGCUAGUUGGCGGGGUAAAGGCCCACCAAGGCGACGAUCCGUAGCUGGUCUGAGAGGAUGAUCAGCCACACUGGAACUGAGACACGGUCCAGACUCCUACGGGAGGCAGCAGUGGGGAAUAUUGGACAAUGGGCGCAAGCCUGAUCCAGCCAUACCGCGUGGGUGAAGAAGGCCUUCGGGUUGUAAAGCCCUUUUGUUGGGAAAGAAAAGCAGCAGGUUAAUACCCCGCUGUUCUGACGGUACCCAAAGAAUAAGCACCGGCUAACUUCGUG
This 491-nucleotide ribosomal RNA is filed under the name uncultured bacterium. RNAcentral's name for it is "partial 16S ribosomal RNA". It matches the Rfam family "Bacterial small subunit ribosomal RNA", at positions 29 to 507 of the family's 1533-position model. The record is from RNAcentral.